RNAcentral lists this ribosomal RNA (102 nucleotides) under Rhizomnium appalachianum. RNAcentral describes it as "partial 5.8S ribosomal RNA". It matches the Rfam family "5.8S ribosomal RNA", at positions 55 to 154 of the family's 154-position model. Rfam says of the family: 5.8S ribosomal RNA (5.8S rRNA) is a component of the large subunit of the eukaryotic ribosome. It is transcribed by RNA polymerase I as part of the 45S precursor that also contains 18S and 28S rRNA. Functionally, it is thought that 5.8S rRNA may be involved in ribosome translocation. Lineage: Eukaryota; Viridiplantae; Streptophyta; Bryopsida; Bryales; Mniaceae. The record is from RNAcentral.
GCGAUACGUAAUGUGAAUUGCAGAAUUCCGCGAAUCAUCGAGUUUUUGAACGCAACUUGCGCCCGAGGCUUCGUCCGAGGGCAUUUCCGCUAGAGCGUCACC